UCGAGAAUCUUCGGCAAUGGGCGCAAGCCUGACCGAGCGACGCCGCGUGCGGGAUGAAGGUCUUCGGAUUGUAAACCGCUGUCGGAGGGGAUGAAGUGUACGGGGGCUAUCCCCUGUAUUUGACAGAGCCUCGGAGGAAGCACGGGCUAAGUUCGUGCCAGCAGCCGCGGUAAUACGAACUGUGCGAACGUUAUUCGGAAUCACUGGGCUUAAAGGGUGCGUAGGCGGUUUGUUAAGUCAGGUGUGAAAU
RNAcentral lists this ribosomal RNA (250 nucleotides) under uncultured bacterium. Its description in RNAcentral is "partial 16S ribosomal RNA". It matches the Rfam family "Bacterial small subunit ribosomal RNA", at positions 355 to 600 of the family's 1533-position model. The record is from RNAcentral.